Molecule: small RNA, 118 nt
Filed under: Klebsiella pneumoniae
Lineage: Bacteria; Pseudomonadati; Pseudomonadota; Gammaproteobacteria; Enterobacterales; Enterobacteriaceae
Description: partial RtT sRNA
Rfam family: RtT RNA
About the family: This family represents a bacterial cis-regulatory element known as RtT RNA.
Source: RNAcentral
GGGGAAGGAUGAGAAGCUUCGACCAAGGUUCGACUCGAGCAAAGCGAGAGAACGUUGCCGCAGGCAAUGGCCCGAAGGCGAGGCGCUUUAGCGCCGAGUAAUCCUUCCCCCACCACUG